UUGGUGACNGCGGAGGGAUCAUUACUGAGUUUACGCUCUAUAACCCUUUGUGAACAUUCCUAUAACUGUUGCUUCGGCGGGAGGGGUCUCCGCGACCCUCCCGGCCCCCCGCCGGAGGAUAAGCAAACUCUGAUUUGACGACGUUUCUUCUGAGUGGUACAAGGAAAUAAUCAAAACUUUUAACAACGGAUCUCUUGGUUCAGGCAUCGAUGAAGAACGCAGCGAAAUGCGAUAAGUAAUGUGAAUUGCAGAAUUCAGUGAAUCAUCNAAUCUUUGAACGCACAUUGCGCCCGCCAGCAUUCUGGCGGGCAUGCCUGUUCGAGCGUCAUUUCAACCCUCAAGCUCUGCUUGGAGUUGGGGCCCUACAGCCGAUGUAGGCCCUUAAAGGUAGUGGCGGACCCUCCCGGAGCCUCCUUUGCGUAGUAACCUUACGUCUCGCACUGGGAUCCGGAGGGACUCUUGCCGUAAAACCCCCAAUUUUCCAAAGGUUGACCUCGGAUCAGGUAGGAAUACCCGCUGAACUUAAGCAUAUCA
This 534-nucleotide ribosomal RNA is filed under the name Colletotrichum alatae. Its description in RNAcentral is "eukaryotic LSU rRNA". The stretch from base 175 to 328 matches the Rfam family "5.8S ribosomal RNA". The record is from RNAcentral. Lineage: Eukaryota; Fungi; Ascomycota; Sordariomycetes; Glomerellales; Glomerellaceae.